GCCUAGCCCCGAUGGAAGCAAAUAUCCUUUUGUCUCGUCCUCAAACGAGAUAAAAGAUAUUGCGGACAGCGGGAGUGAAC
Molecule: small RNA, 80 nt
Filed under: Flavobacterium sp. A45
Lineage: Bacteria; Pseudomonadati; Bacteroidota; Flavobacteriia; Flavobacteriales; Flavobacteriaceae
Description: Flavo-1 RNA
Rfam family: Flavo-1 RNA
Source: Rfam by way of RNAcentral